RNAcentral lists this ribosomal RNA (253 nucleotides) under uncultured bacterium. RNAcentral describes it as "partial 16S ribosomal RNA". It matches the Rfam family "Bacterial small subunit ribosomal RNA", at positions 524 to 776 of the family's 1533-position model. The record is from RNAcentral.
UACGUAGGGUGCAAGCGUUGUCCGGAAUUAUUGGGCGUAAAGAGCUCGUAGGCGGCUUGUCGCGUCGGCUGUGAAAACCUAGGGCUCAACCCUGGGCCUGCAGCCGAUACGGGCAAGCUAGAAUUCGGUAGGGGAGACUGGAAUUCCUGGUGUAGCGGUGAAAUGCGCAGAUAUCAGGAGGAACACCAAUUGCGAAGGCAGCUCGCUGGAACGUAACUGACGCUGAGACGCGAAAGCGUGGGGAGCAAACAGG